CCCUAGAUGUAAAGGGCGACACCAAUGUCGCCCCUUAAAGGGUUUUAGGCACCAUUUUUGGGGAGACUGAGAGUCCUUUUUGGGGGAUAAAAAGGCACUCACAGGUUGUCCCCUUCCCAAUAUCUCUUCUACUCUUCUCCAUUAGCUCCAAAACCUCCUUCUCCACCUAAAUCCUUUAGAUCUAUAGGACUCUUCUCCCUCCAAAACUCUUAAUCCCACCUCAAAUCUCUUAGAUCCAUCACCCUACAUCUCCUUCCCACCUCAAAUCUUCUUGAUUAGAACUCCAUUUGCCCCAAAUCCUCAUCUCACUUGAAAUCCUCUAGAUCUCAACCUUUCUUUGCCUCAAAACUCUAUUUCCCACUUCUCCACCUCAAGAUCUAGGGCUCUUUACCUUCCCUUGAGUGGAUCUUGCUCUCUCUCCUCCCCAUGGCACCCAAGAUGAGGCUUCUUUAAAGGAGAAAAUCAACAUAUGUUCAAGAAGAGGAAGAAAGGAGAUAAAAGAUAGUACAAGUCUAAGCCCCAUCCUCUCCCCCAAAGACUCCAAGCAAGUAUCGACAUCUUCAUCUGGAUCAGUGAUCUUAGAUGGAGGAUCCGUAUUCCGCACUCAUGAAGGAUCUUUUCCAACAGGUUGUGGCUGACUUCUAUGAUUGUAGAUGUUGACUGUCUUUUGUAUUAUGAUAUUAUGUCUCUUGAUGUAUUUUGGCUGAUGUAGUGCCUGAUAUUAUAUGUUAUAACAUUAUGUGACUCUUGAUGUAUUCUAUUUAGUGUGAUUAUUGAUGUGCUUCUGGCAUUAUGUGACCCUUGCUAUAUCUUAAA
Elaeis guineensis (African oil palm) is the source of this 816-nucleotide non-coding RNA. The record is from RefSeq and is a predicted model, not a curated record. NCBI's taxonomy places the organism in Eukaryota, Viridiplantae, Streptophyta, Magnoliopsida, Arecales, Arecaceae.